Non-coding RNA from Vicugna pacos (alpaca), 121 nucleotides. NCBI's taxonomy places the organism in Eukaryota, Metazoa, Chordata, Mammalia, Artiodactyla, Camelidae. The record is from RefSeq and is a predicted model, not a curated record.
AGAUGAGGAAACUGAGGUUCAGAGAAGUCAUCAAGACUCCCGCCCAGGCCCAGUGAAAGGGCCACGGAUGUUUUGGAAGGAGAAAGAGCUCAAGAAGCCCUCUUGUGGACGUUCCAGGAAA